CGGAGCUCUAUUUGAGGAUAAGCCUCAUUCUGCCAAUGACGCAUGGAGGAAGCUCCAUUCUGAUCCUUUGCUCAUCAUUCGGCAGCGUGAGCAACAAGCUCUUGCACGCGUAAAAAACAAUCCUAUUCAGAUGGCUAUGAUUCGAAAAACUGUUGAAGUGGAAAAACACAAGGACAAAAAUCCAAAUGACAAGAGAGAACGGAAGAAGCACCGCCAUAGUAAAUCUAAACUCCAUAAAGAUUCUUCUCCAGAAAGAGAUUAUGAUUCUGAAGAUGCCAGCCCUGAGAAGCAGAGAAGGAAACACG
Molecule: unclassified non-coding RNA, 305 nt
Filed under: Hevea brasiliensis (rubber tree)
Lineage: Eukaryota; Viridiplantae; Streptophyta; Magnoliopsida; Malpighiales; Euphorbiaceae
Source: RNAcentral